This 497-nucleotide ribosomal RNA is filed under the name uncultured bacterium. RNAcentral's name for it is "partial 16S ribosomal RNA". It matches the Rfam family "Bacterial small subunit ribosomal RNA", at positions 28 to 507 of the family's 1533-position model. The record is from RNAcentral.
GAUGAACGCUGGCGGCGUGCCUAAUACAUGCAAGUCGAGCGAACGGACGAGAAGCUUGCUUCUCUGAUGUUAGCGGCGGACGGGUGAGUAACACGUGGAUAACCUACCUAUAAGACUGGGAUAACUUCGGGAAACCGGAGCUAAUACCGGAUGAUAUUUUGAACCGCAUGGUUCAAAAGUGAAAGACGGUCUUGCUGUCACUUAUAGAUGGAUCCGCGCUGCAUUAGCUAGUUGGUAAGGUAACGGCUUACCAAGGCAACGAUGCAUAGCCGACCUGAGAGGGUGAUCGGCCACACUGGAACUGGGACCCGGUCCAGACUCCUACGGGAGGCAGCAGUAGGGAAUCUUCCGCAAUGGGCGAAAGCCUGACGGAGCAACGGCGCGUGAGUGAUGAAGGUCUUCGGAUCGUAAAACUCUGUUAUUAGGGAAGAACAUAUGUGUAAGUAAAUGUGCACCUCUUGACGGUACCUAAUCAGAAAGCCACGGCUAACUACGUG